UUAUAUUGUUUAUUGGGACUGUUAAGCAUUUAUCGUAUCUUUUGAACCUUUUUCCACAGAACCAUAACUUGUGCUCUAUUAAUUCACACAACACCCAAAUACUCUUUCUUGGAACAAACUGACAUAUUGGGCCCAGAUUUCAGAGCCUGCAAGCACAUAUCUGCUGGUGAGGUGGAUAUGGGCCUCACUUGUCAGCCUAUUCCUCUUUUUUUUGUUUUUUGGUAAAGGUCAAUUUUAUUAACUCAAAAUGUAGGUUCAAGAAGAUACAAAGCAUAUUGAGCAUACACCCGGCCUCUUAAUGACUAGGAUGCAUCACAGCCAACAAGAACAUAUGGAAAUAAAAAUAAGGAUAUAGUAAAAUCCUAAAAGACCAAAAGUAGCCUAAGAUGAAUAGGAUGGAGGGCCCAGAUGUCAAAAAGCCUAUUCCCCUUAUUCUUACCUUCCUCUCCCUCCUCCGAAAGCCUAUUCCCCUUAUUCUUACUGUUAUGACCGGCUUGGCCUAUGGCCGGCGUAGGCCCAUUGGGCGUUAAUAUUAGCGGCUUGGCGCGCAAGUUAUCUUAGGUAAAUUACUUUAGGAAAGUUAUCUUAGGCUCGAGUUAUAAAUACUAGUUGUAAGACAUCAAUUGAGAUCAAGCAAUAAAGAUAUUAUCUUCUGUUGCCCGGCUCUCCAAGGAGCCGGAACCCUAGCCUCCGCCGCACCUAACCCUAGCCGCGACGGCGCCAUCUCGCCGGCGCGCCCGCUCCAGCCCUCGCUCCCCUCCUCCCUGCCCGUACAACCUACGCCGGAGGCCCGGUAGGAACCCUAGUCCUACCAAUUUGGUAUCCAGAGAUUUCAGGCUGAUCAUGUCGCUCCCUCCACCACCGCCGCCGCUCAACACCACCACCGCCCCACUGCCGCAAACCACCACCACCGCCCCGCCGCCGCUGCCGCUCAUGUCCGGGACCGCUCCCUCGCCAGUGCCGAUCAUCACCGCGGAGGAGCCGCUCCCCAUACUCUCGCCCGAGGCGAUGUCGGGCACCCUGCGGGAGCUUGUCCAAGCGGUCCGAGGCAUCAGCCUCUACCUCGCUGGGACCCAACCCCCGCCGCCGAGCGUCGCCCCCACUACCUACGGGCCGCCGUCGCUGCCGUGGGCCACCCCGGCCUUCCAGCCGCUCCACGGAGGNGCUGCCCCACCAGUCGCUACCGGCCACCACGACGCAGGCUCCGGCGCCGCACCAGCAGCCGCCGCCGCCAUCAACAGCAGCACCUCCAGCGCCCCGAACCACCGGUCGGCCCCUGCACCAGGUGCAGUUCCCGUCAUCGCCAUCACCAAUUCCCGCGUGGGCAGCCGGAUCAUCUUCGGGUCCGAUCUAUACCCCGGCACCGGAACACCCGGCGCCCUCUCUUCCGUUCGAGCGGCCCUCCAGCUCGGCGCCCUACGGCCCGGAGUUUCCCGACCCGGCAUACGCGAUGCCACCGACAUCCGCGGCUCCCGGACACGGCGGGCCGACAUCUCCUCGGUUCGCGAAGCUGAACUUCACCACUUACGACGGCGCGGAAGACCCCCUCAACUGGCUCAACCAGUGCGAGCAGUUCUUUCGGGGGCAGCGGACGCUCGCGUCGGAUCGCACCUGGCUCGCGUCCUAUCAUCUCCGUGGUACUGCCCAGACUUGGUACUACGCCCUCGAGCAGGACGAGGGCGGCAUGCCACCGUGGGACCGAUUUCGCGAGCUCUGCCUUCUCCGGUUUGGCCCCCCCAUCCGUGGCAGCCGACUGGCAGUCCUCGGCCGCUUACCGUUUACCUCAACGGUCCAGGACUACGCCGACCGAUUCCAAGCCCUGGCAUGCCACGCGCCAGGCAUAUCCGCGUCUCGGCGCGCUGAGCUCUUUGUGGGUGGCCUACUGGACCAUAUUCACGUGGAUGUCGAGCUCCGGGAACCCCCCGACCUUCAGUCCGCCAUGUACUACGCCCGGGCCUUCGAGCAGCGGGCCCAGGCACUGCAGCAACCGCCCGGACGGGGCGGCCGCCAGCUCAGUCGACCCGCGCCGACCCUUCCAGCACCGGGCCGGCCUCCGCCAGCCGCAACGGCCGCACCUCCGGCCACCACACGGACCUUCCGCAGGUUGUCCCCGGCCGAGCAGCAUGAGCGUCGACGUCAGGGUCUCUGCUUUAACUGCGAUGAGCCCUACACGCCGACACAUGUCUGCCCCCGCCUCUUCUACUUGGAGACGGCCGACUACACCGAGGCGGACGAGACGAACGACGCACCAGACACGGCCGCAGAUUCUACGGCGACGGCCUGCGUCGUCUCUCUCCACGCCCUCGCCGGCAUCCGUCAUGAGCGGACCAUGUUGCUGCCCGUGACGAUCCAUGGCGAGCAGCUGGUGGCCCUGCUGGAUACGGGCUCCACUCAUAACUUCCUGCCCGAGGCAACCAUGCGUCGUCUAGCUAUUCCGACCACGGGCGGGGAGCGCCUUCGGAUCACGGUGGCCAACGGUGACCGCCUCCAGUGUCAUGGACUCGCCCGCGACGUUCCCAUCACCAUCGGGGGCGAACACUUUUCCAUUACCUGUGCCGGCAUCGACCUCGGCUGUUUCGACUUCAUCCUCGGUGUGGACUUUCUCCGGACCCUCGGGCCCAUCGUGUGGGACUUCGACGCCCUCACGAUGACAUUCUGGCGGCUGGGACGCCAAAUUCGGUGGGACGGCAUUGGGGGCGCUUCGCCCGCCGUGCCACAUCUUCAGCUAGCCGCCGCCUCCUCCGAGACCGAGCACCCUCUGCUGGAUCCACUUCUGCAGCAACAUAGCGUCCUCUUCGACGAGCCGCGGGGACUCCCACAUGCUCGGGUAUACGACCAUCGCAUUCACCUUGCUCCGGGCUCCACUCCCGUGGCGGUGCGACCUUACCGCUACCCUCAGCUGCAGAAGGAUGAGUUGGAGAGACAGUGUGCCCUUAUGCUCGCAGCGGGCAUCAUCCGGAUCUCGACGUCACCCUUCUCCGCGCCGGUCCUUCUCGUCCGCAAGACAGAUGGCACGUGGCGUUUCUGCAUCGACUACCGCGGCCUGAACGCGCUCACACUCAAGGACAAGUUUCCGAUACCGGUGGUCGACGAGCUCUUGGAUGAGCUUCAUGGGGCGCGCUUCUUCACCAAACUCGAUCUCCGGUCGGGCUAUCACCAGGUGCGCAUGCAUCCACACGACAUCGCCAAGACGGCGUUUUGCACCCACCAUGGCCACUUCGAGUUCUUGGUGAUGCCUUUCGGCCUCGCCAAUGCCCCGGCGACUUUCCAGGCCCUGAUGAACGACAUUCUGCGACCCUACUUACGGCGGUUUGUGCUUGUUUUCUUUGAUGAUAUUCUUAUCUUCAGCGCCACCUGGGCCGAGCACCUCCAGCACGUCGCCAUCGUCUUCAACGAGCUUCGGGCGCACGACCUCCACCUCAAGCGCUCGAAGUGCUCGUUCGGGACACCUACUGUUGCCUACCUCGGCCAUGUCAUCUCGGCCGACGGGGUGGCUAUGGACGCCGACAAGGUGGCAGCUGUCUCCGCCUGGCCGACGCCUCACUCGCCGCGGGCUCUCCGCGGGUUCCUCGGCCUCGCAGGAUACUACCGGAAAUUUAUUCGGGAGUUCGGGCUCAUCGCGGCACCUCUCACGCGGCUGCUCCGCCGCGAUGCUUUCGCCUGGGACGACGAGGCGACAGCGGCAUUCGAGGCCCUCAAAGGGGCCCUCACGACGGGUCCCGUCCUCCAGAUGCCCGACUUCGACCGGCCGUUCGUGGUGGACUGUGACGCGUCGGGCGUGGGCUUCGGCGCCGUGCUUCAUCAGGGCGAGGGGCCCAUUGCUUUCUUCAGCCGGCCUUUUGCUCCGCGCCAUCUUAAGUUGGCGGCGUACGAGCGGGAGCUCAUUGGCCUGGUGCAGGCCGUGCGCCAUUGGCGGCCGUACUUGUGGGGACGGGUCUUCCACAUCCGUACGGACCAUUACAGCUUGAAGUUUUUACUGGACCAACGACUGUCGACUGUGCCGCAGCACCAGUGGAUCAGCAAGCUCUUCGGCUUCGACUUCUCCGUCGAGUAUCGUCCGGGCCGCCUUAACACCGUGGCCGACGCGCUGUCCCGUCGCGACUCCGAUCUCGCUCCUUCCACCGACGAGGUCACUGGGGUGUCCCUGUGCAUCCGAUCCGGGCCGACGUUCGGCCUCUUCGCCGACAUCCGCCGCGCAACUGCAACAGCCGACGACGCCGUUCUUCUCCAGCAGCAGCUCACGGCCGGUGACCUUGAGGAGCCCUGGCGCUUCACUGAUGGACUGCUUCUCCAUGGGCGCCGGAUCUUUGUUCCGGCGCAUGAUGAUCUCCGUCACCAGGUGCUCCAGCUCGCCCACUCGGCAGGUCAUGAGGGUGUGCAGAAAACCCUCCAUCGUCUUCGCGCUGACUUCUACAUCCCCGGCGAUCGCGCACUCGUCCGCGACUGGGUUCGGUCUUGCCAGACAUGCCAGCGCAACAAGACGGAGACCCUGAGACCGGCUGGGUUACUUCAGCCCUUGGAGGUGCCGUCUCAGGUUUGGGCGGAUAUUUCCAUGGACUUCAUCGAGGGCCUUCCCAAGGUGGGCGGCAGGUCGGUCAUCCUUACGGUGGUCGACCGCUUUUCUAAGUAUGCCCACUUCAUCGCGCUCGGUCAUCCGUACACGGCGGCGUCCGUGGCCCGGGCCUUCUUCGACGGCAUCGUUCGCUUACACGGAUUCCCAGCUUCGAUCGUCAGUGAUCGGGACCCGGUGUUCACGGGACAUGUCUGGCGCGACCUCUUCAGGAUGGCGGGCGUCCAGCUUCGCCUGAGUACGGCAUUUCAUCCUCAGACGGACGGUCAGUCCGAGGUGGUUAACAAGGUCAUUGCCAUGUAUUUGCGUUGUGUGACAGGUGAUCGGCCUCGAGCUUGGGUGGACUGGCUCUCUUGGGCGGAGUACUGCUACAACACCUCCUAUCACUCCGCCCUUCGUGCCACGCCAUUUGAGGUGGUAUAUGGGCGUCCGCCCCCGCCUAUACUUCCGGUGGACCCGGCGACGGCUCGGACAGAGAUUGCGGGUGACCUUAUCCGCACCCGUGACGAGAUGCUUGCUGAGGUCCGUCAGCGUCUCCUUCAGGCCCAGCAGCUGGCCAAGCACUACUACGACAAUCACCAUCGCGAGGCGGAAUUCGCCGUGGGUGAUUGGGUGUGGCUGCGUCUUCUCCACCGCUCUACGCAGUCACUCGACCCGCGCGCGAAGCGCAAGCUCGGCCCUCGCUACGCUGGACCCUUCCCUAUCGUGGAGCGCAUUGGGAAGGUGGCCUAUCGUCUUUAGCUGCCAGACCACGCUCGUAUCCACGACGUCUUCCAUGUGGGGCUACUCAAGCCCUUCUGUGGCGAGACACCGGCGGCCCUUCCGGCGCUUCCUCCAAUCGCCGAUGGUCGCAUUCUUCCGGAACCAGCCAAGGUGUUGCAGGCACAACUUCGACGUGGCGUGUGGUUCCUCCUCGUUCAGUGGACGGGUCUUCCGGAGGAGGAGGCUACGUGGGAGCAGUGUGAGGAAUUCCGCCAACACUAUCCAAACUUUCAGCUCGAGGACGAGCUGUUUGUGCAGGCGGGGAGAGAUGUUAUGACCGGCUUGGCCUAUGGCCGGCGUAGGCCCAUUGGGCGUUAAUAUUAGCGGCUUGGCCCGCAAGUUAUCUUAGGUAAAUUACUUUAGGAAAGUUAUCUUAGGCUCGAGUUAUAAAUACUAGUUGUAAGACAUCAAUUGAGAUCAAGCAAUAAAGAUAUUAUCUUCUGUUGCCAGGCUCUCCAAGGAGCCGGAAUCCUAGCCUCCGCCGCACCUAACCCUAGCCGCGACGGCGCCAUCUCGCCGGCGCGCCCGCUCCAGCCCUCGCUCCCCUCCUCCCUGCCCGUACAACCUACGCCGGAGGCCCGGUAGGGACCCUAGUCCUACCACUUACCUUCCUCUCCCUCCUCCCAUCUGCAGGGCUAUAUCUUGCUUAUAGCGUGCUGUAUGCCCGGCUCCCUGAAGGUUUUCCGCUGCUCGCUAUAGUACAGGGCCGGCCUGUUAGUUUGCUCGUAGCUGCGCUCGAUCCGUUCCUUUGCUGGUUCGCUUCAGCUUUCUUCCUUUUCUUCCGGUUUUCUCUAUUGCUUCAAUGGUUUUCUUUUUUUCUUUGUUUUUCUUCAUUUGUCUCCGGUUUUAUUAUUUUCACCGGUUUCUUUGUUUAUUUA
Molecule: long non-coding RNA, 6210 nt
Filed under: Hordeum vulgare
Lineage: Eukaryota; Viridiplantae; Streptophyta; Magnoliopsida; Poales; Poaceae
Description: long non-coding RNA (HVUL_LNC012182)
Source: RNAcentral